This 381-nucleotide unclassified non-coding RNA is filed under the name uncultured fungus. Its description in RNAcentral is "sequence contains ITS1". The stretch from base 1 to 107 matches the Rfam family "5.8S ribosomal RNA", at positions 49 to 154 of the family's 154-position model. Lineage: Eukaryota; Fungi. The record is from RNAcentral.
UGAAAUGCGAUAAUUAAUGUGAAUUGCAUUAUCUCGUGAAUCAUCGAGUCUUUGAACGCAUCUUGCACUUUUCAGGUCUCCUGGAAAGUAUACUUGUUUGAGUAUCAUUAACAUUACCUCCAAGUUAAGUCUUGGGAAUUGAGACGCUAAGCAAUGCAUGCAUUGAUCCCCUUCUUGGGGUUCUCUGCUGCUACUGCCUAUGUCUUUUAAGUGAUAUGUAGAGUGUUGUGCUUGUCACAAGCCGCCUCAAUCAAAUGUGAGAUAAACAUCGCACAGAGUAGUUGACUGGUGGUUAAGCUUUGCUACGCCCAGAGGUCCAGUACCUCAACCCACAGCAUGAUCUGUGAUCUCAAAUCAAGUAAGACUACCCGCUGAACUUAA